Molecule: long non-coding RNA, 173 nt
Filed under: Chinchilla lanigera (long-tailed chinchilla)
Lineage: Eukaryota; Metazoa; Chordata; Mammalia; Rodentia; Chinchillidae
Description: lncRNA (ENSCLAG00000022975.1)
Source: RNAcentral
GAGAAAUCUAAUCGGCCCUCACUUUGGUUGCUCCCUGACUGCUGGUUUUCUGGACGUGGGGCCUGCUCCAGACCUUCUAUUCUGAGUUCCAUGCAGGAAGAAGACUUGUCUAUAUGAAGCUCCCUGGGAUUUUGCAGUUGUCCUAGAUGGAAAGCAUAGAUGCAGGAAUACCA